This 736-nucleotide long non-coding RNA is filed under the name Prunus persica (peach). RNAcentral describes it as "long non-coding RNA (PPER_LNC002695)". The record is from RNAcentral. Lineage: Eukaryota; Viridiplantae; Streptophyta; Magnoliopsida; Rosales; Rosaceae.
UCACCCAAAUUCACAAUCAUUUGUUUUAGAAGUCAGUAACUUGGGGCGCAAGUUAUCCACUCUGAAAAGAAGUCUGCUAGAAUUUACAUUGCUAGCAGUGGCACGCUCACACACCAAAGAAAGCUGACUUGUCGACCAACAAGUGGUCUCCAAGCCGGUGGGGAACUUCGCCCUUCCACCUCAGGAGUAAACACGAAAACGGGUGAACAGAAGCAAAUUCAAGGUUAGUGGCAGACAUGCCUAUACAUCCCAGGCCUCGUGAACCCAACUUGAUCCUUUGCAUUCCUCUUGCCAUUUGCCAUCCGUAAUUUUGUGUGUUGUCGCUACCUUGGGGCAAGUGGCCUUGUAGCUAUAAGGAAAAUUGAGAGAGUUCUAUAAAGAUUGGGAAGGGGCUAGGUGAAUGUCAGGUGUUUGUUGGCUAUGGGGAGGGAGCCUCAUGAACUCUUCGUGUUUCAAUUAAUAAUUAAAUGGUAUUUUAGGAAUAUUGGUGAAUGAAUUUUUCAAAAUUACAUGAUGGGUGAGAAAUGGGUGGGGAAAUAGGACAGCGAGGGUGAAAAUAACAGCACUCUUUAAAAAUUAUAACAUGGUUAAGUUAGUCCAAAAAAUUGCAUUAAAUGUUUUCCCAAGUGGGGGAAAAAAGUUUCCCAAGGUAAGCAUGAUAAGUUCAUCGUACCCAUGAGUUGGAUAUUGUAUUGCAUUUACCAAACAUGAGAAUGCAAUUUUAUAUCCAUUCCCA